RNAcentral lists this ribosomal RNA (253 nucleotides) under uncultured bacterium. RNAcentral's name for it is "partial 16S ribosomal RNA". It matches the Rfam family "Bacterial small subunit ribosomal RNA", at positions 524 to 776 of the family's 1533-position model. The record is from RNAcentral.
UACGAAGGGGGCUAGCGUUGCUCGGAUUUACUGGGCGUAAAGGGCGCGUAGGCGGAUCAGCAAGUUGGGGGUGAAAGCUUGGAGCUCAACCUCGGAACUGCCUUCAAAACUGUUGAUCUUGAGUAUGAGAGAGGUGUGUGGAACUCCGAGUGUAGAGGUGAAAUUCGUAGAUAUUCCGAAGAACACCAGUGGCGAAGGCGACACACUGGCUCAUUACUGACGCUGAGGCGCGAAAGCGUGGGGAGCAAACAGG